UUGGAUUUAUGUAGAGCCAAAUACACACACUCUCCUGAUCUCCCUGUGGCCAGUGCUCUAAGAUAGCUGGUUGGAAUUAGAAUCUGAGUUUGCUAUCAUCAGAAGAAACAGAAGCUGCUGUGUCCAGCAUUAUGCAGAACUAAGAUCCACACUGGGAUAUCCAGAUUCGCCCAGGAGAACCAGAAAGACUUGAAUUCAUUUAAUGAUCCUACAAGCAAGGUCAAAUGGCGAGAGGGCACUGGGAAUGCUGAGACAAACCAACUUGAUCUGUGGAGGGGAAGAAUUCUCAAUUGAUCUAACAUUGGACACACCCUUCCCACCACAGAGCAGGGAACCAGAUUACCUGAAAGUGCAACUGGAGCAGAGGAAGGCUUAAAAUGUGUUGUCAUACUGAUUGACAUGCGACCCUCCUCCGUGGUCUGGGAUUAUCUCUAUAGUAUGAAGGAAGCUUUUCUGCCCUUAACUGAUGAGUCCUUGGAUGCCCCAGAAUCAUGGAUCAUAUAGUUGGGAGGAGCCUUUAGAGACCUAACUAGUCCUCAAAAAUGUUUUGAGGUAGAGGAGCUGCCUUCCUUUGUUCACAUCUAUCCAGAAGUCAAUGGAAGGGAUGUGGAGGCACCAGAGAAGACCUUAGGGACAACAGCUGGGCACUGAAGUCCUGGGAUGGAUCAUGGAAAGAGGAUUGUGAUGGUCUUCACAGGGUUAUGGGAAGCCUGAGAUUGGCUGGAUUUUCUGAGCCAAACAAAAUUAGAUGCCUGGUGAUCUCAAGAAAAGAGCAAGAUGCUCCAUCUUUUUUGUUUGAUGGUUUGUCUAUGUGCCUAGCAUGCAGAGGAGACUCUUGAUUUGCUGAAGCUGGUGGUCUCUUUUUUCCCUUUUCCUUUCUUUCUUUUAAAUACUUUUAUAUACAAUUAAGAUUAUAAAUUUUCACCCCAUUUACUGGGAAUGUGAUCAUUCGGAAUAGCCCCUUAUGCUGUUAGCAGUAAAAUAUGAAGUUCAGAGGAUCUAAAGAAAUUAACUGUUUGAAAGUCAACAAACAGUACUAAUUCUGAAAUUUAUGAAAUUCCUGCCUUUUUCUCUCCUCCCACUCUCUCACUUUAUGUAGUUGGUCCAGAUCACUUGAAAAGUAAUAAAAUUCUUUUGUGUACAAA
Molecule: long non-coding RNA, 1145 nt
Organism: Canis lupus familiaris (dog)
Lineage: Eukaryota; Metazoa; Chordata; Mammalia; Carnivora; Canidae
Exons: 4
Source: RefSeq, a predicted model, not a curated record